This 428-nucleotide ribosomal RNA is filed under the name uncultured bacterium. Its description in RNAcentral is "bacterial SSU rRNA". It matches the Rfam family "Bacterial small subunit ribosomal RNA", at positions 354 to 796 of the family's 1533-position model. The record is from RNAcentral.
GUCGAGAAUCUUCCGCAAUGGGCGCAAGCCUGACGGAGCGAUGCCGCGUGGGGGAUGAAGAUCUUCGGAUUGUAAACCCCUGUCACCCGGGACGAAGCAUGUGACGGUACCGGGAGAGGAAGCCACGGCUAACUACGUGCCAGCAGCCGCGGUAAUACGUAGGUGGCGAGCGUUAUUCGGAUUCACUGGGCGUAAAGGGUCCGCAGGGGGUUUGCCAAGUCUGAUGUGAAAGCCCGCGGCUCAACUGCGGAAUGGCAUUGGAUACUGGCGGACUAGAGUGCACGAGGGGUGAGUGGAAUUCCUGGUGUAGCGGUGGAAUGCGUAGAUAUCAGGAGGAAUACCGACGGCGAAGGCGGCUCACUGGCGUGCAACUGACCCUCAGGGACGAAAGCGUGGGGAGCAAACAGGAUUAGAUACCCCGGUAGUCC